GACGAACGCUGGCGGCGUGCCUAAUACAUGCAAGUCGUACGCUUCUUUUUCCACCGGAGCUUGCUCCACCGGAAAAAGAAGAGUGGCGAACGGGUGAGUAACACGUGGGUAACCUGCCCAUCAGAAGGGGAUAACACUUGGAAACAGGUGCUAAUACCGUAUAACAAUCGAAACCGCAUGGUUUUGAUUUGAAAGGCGCUUUCGGGUGUCGCUGAUGGAUGGACCCGCGGUGCAUUAGCUAGUUGGUGAGGUAACGGCUCACCAAGGCCACGAUGCAUAGCCGACCUGAGAGGGUGAUCGGCCACAUUGGGACUGAGACACGGCCCAAACUCCUACGGGAGGCAGCAGUAGGGAAUCUUCGGCAAUGGACGAAAGUCUGACCGAGCAACGCCGCGUGAGUGAAGAAGGUUUUCGGAUCGUAAAACUCUGUUGUUAGAGAAGAACAAGGAUGAGAGUAACUGUUCAUCCCUUGACGGUAUCUAACCAGAAAGCCACGGCUAACUACGUGCCAGCAGCCGCGGUAAUACGUAGGUGGCAAGCGUUGUCCGGAUUUAUUGGGCGUAAAGCGAGCGCAGGCGGUUUCUUAAGUCUGAUGUGAAAGCCCCCGGCUCAACCGGGGAGGGUCAUUGGAAACUGGGAGACUUGAGUGCAGAAGAGGAGAGUGGAAUUCCAUGUGUAGCGGUGAAAUGCGUAGAUAUAUGGAGGAACACCAGUGGCGAAGGCGGCUCUCUGGUCUGUAACUGACGCUGAGGCUCGAAAGCGUGGGGAGCAAACAGGAUUAGAUACCCUGGUAGUCCACGCCGUAAACGAUGAGUGCUAAGUGUUGGAGGGUUUCCGCCCUUCAGUGCUGCAGCUAACGCAUUAAGCACUCCGCCUGGGGAGUACGACCGCAAGGUUG
This 898-nucleotide ribosomal RNA is filed under the name uncultured bacterium. RNAcentral describes it as "bacterial SSU rRNA". It matches the Rfam family "Bacterial small subunit ribosomal RNA", at positions 28 to 896 of the family's 1533-position model. The record is from RNAcentral.